RNAcentral lists this small nuclear RNA (282 nucleotides) under Cricetulus griseus (Chinese hamster). Its description in RNAcentral is "7SK RNA". It matches the Rfam family "7SK RNA". From Rfam's summary of the family: 7SK was discovered as an abundant small nuclear RNA in the mid-70s but a possible function has only recently been suggested. Two independent studies have found that 7SK RNA binds the CDK9/cyclin T complex (known as elongation factor P-TEFb). P-TEFb activates transcription by phosphorylating the C-terminal domain of RNA polymerase II. The record is from Rfam by way of RNAcentral. Lineage: Eukaryota; Metazoa; Chordata; Mammalia; Rodentia; Cricetidae.
UGAGCAAUUUUGCUGCAACUUCUCUCAUUCCAUUGAUCACCAGGGUUGAUUGGGCUGCUCUCCAUCACUACUCAAUGUGCAUCCUUCCCAGAGCUGCAUGCUUGGGUGGAAAAGACAACCUUCCCCAAAUAAAUGAGGGCCAGUCUUUGGUCAAUGAUAUGUGAGUAGUUGUGUUUCUGCUGCUAGAAGAUAUAAACAAACUAUCAAAGCAAAUUUAUUUAUUUUUUAAUGUGAGGUUCAAAUGUGCCAUGAUGCCCAUAUGGAAGUCUGAGAACAAUUUAU